RNAcentral lists this ribosomal RNA (83 nucleotides) under Lactococcus cremoris subsp. cremoris SK11. The record is from RNAcentral. Lineage: Bacteria; Bacillati; Bacillota; Bacilli; Lactobacillales; Streptococcaceae.
GGAGAUAUACCUGUUCCCAUGUCGAACACAGAAGUCAAGUCCUAUUGCGCUGGAAGUACUUGGGGGUUGCCCCCUGGGAGAUA